RNAcentral lists this ribosomal RNA (491 nucleotides) under uncultured bacterium. Its description in RNAcentral is "partial 16S ribosomal RNA". It matches the Rfam family "Bacterial small subunit ribosomal RNA", at positions 28 to 507 of the family's 1533-position model. The record is from RNAcentral.
GAUGAACGCUAGCUACAGGCUUAACACAUGCAAGUCGCGGGGCAGCAUGGGGGUUGCUUGCCACCCCUGAUGGCGACCGGCGCACGGGUGAGUAACGCGUAUCCAACCUGCCCUUCACCACGGGAUAACCCGGCGAAAGUCGGACUAAUACCGUAUGUUGUCCAUUGACGGCAUCCGAUUUGGACGGAAGGCGUGGCGGGGAAAGGGUGGGGGUGCGUUCGAUUAGCUUGACGGGGGGGUAACGGCCGACCGUGGCUACGAUCGGUAGGGGUUCUGAGAGGAAGGUCCCCCACACUGGAACUGAGACACGGUCCAGACUCCUACGGGAGGCAGCAGUGAGGAAUAUUGGUCAAUGGGCGUAAGCCUGAACCAGCCAAGUAGCGUGCAGGAUGACGGCCCUAUGGGUUGUAAACUGCUUUUAUGCGGGGAUAAAGUGGCCCACGUGUGGGCUUUUGCAGGUACCGCAUGAAUAAGGACCGGCUAAUUCCGUG